AGCGGGGUAGUUUAGUCUGGCCUAAAACGUCGGUCUCAUAAGCCGAUCAUCGUGGGUUCGAAUCCCACUCCCGCCCCCA
Molecule: transfer RNA, 79 nt
Filed under: Chlamydiota bacterium
Lineage: Bacteria; Pseudomonadati; Chlamydiota
Description: Chlamydiae bacterium tRNA-Met
Rfam family: tRNA
About the family: Transfer RNA (tRNA) molecules are approximately 80 nucleotides in length. Their secondary structure includes four short double-helical elements and three loops (D, anti-codon, and T loops).
Source: RNAcentral